RNAcentral lists this ribosomal RNA (480 nucleotides) under uncultured bacterium. RNAcentral's name for it is "partial 16S ribosomal RNA". It matches the Rfam family "Bacterial small subunit ribosomal RNA", at positions 28 to 523 of the family's 1533-position model. The record is from RNAcentral.
GAUGAACGCUGGCGGCGUGCUUAACACAUGCAAGUCGAACGGACCUUCUGAUCUUUUGGUUGGUUGGUUAGUGGCGAACGGGUGAGUAACACGUGAGUAACCUGCCCUUCUCUUCGGGAUAACUGUCGGAAACGGUGGCUAAUACCGGAUAUUCAUAUGCUGUCGCAUGGUGGUGUGUGGAAAGAUUUUUUGGUGGGGGAUGGACUCGCGGCCUAUCAGCUUGUUGGUGAGGUAGUGGCUUACCAAGGCUUUGACGGGUAGCCGGCCUGAGAGGGCGACCGGACACACUGGGACUGAGAUACGGCCCAGACUCCUACGGGAGGCAGCAGUGGGGAAUAUUGCACAAUGGGCGGAAGCCUGAUGCAGCGACGCCGUGUGCGGGAUGACGGCCUUCGGGUUGUAAAGCUCUUUUGUCCGGGAAGAUAAUGACUGUACCGGAAGAAUAAGCCCCGGCAAACUUCGUGCCAGCAGCCGCGGUAA